GGGGGUAUAGCUCAGCUGGGAGAGCAGCAGACUGAAGUCGUUGAAUAAAAUAGUGUGACGCUCAUUCUGAAGGUCCCGCGUUCGAUCCGCGGUACCCCCA
Paramarasmius palmivorus is the source of this 100-nucleotide non-coding RNA. NCBI's taxonomy places the organism in Eukaryota, Fungi, Basidiomycota, Agaricomycetes, Agaricales, Marasmiaceae. The record is from the annotation of a GenBank genome assembly.